Molecule: ribosomal RNA, 853 nt
Filed under: delta proteobacterium SCGC AAA240-N18
Lineage: Bacteria; Deltaproteobacteria
Description: SSU rRNA
Rfam family: Bacterial small subunit ribosomal RNA
Source: RNAcentral
GCGACGCUGGCGGCAUGCCUAACACAUGCAAGUCGAACGAGAAAGUUCCUUCGGGAGCAAUUAAAGUGGCGCACGGGUGAGUAACGCGUAGACAAUCUGCCCUUCAGUCUGGGACAACUUUUCGAAAGGAGAGCUAAUACCGGAUAACAAUGCAUGACACAAGUUGUAUAUUUGAAAGCUUUAUGUGCUGAAGGAGGGGUCUGCGUCCCAUUAGCUAGUUGGUAAGGUAAAGGCUUACCAAGGCAACGAUGGGUAGCGGGUUUGAGAGGACGAUCCGCCACACUGGAACUGAGACACGGUCCAGACUCCUACGGGAGGCAGCAGUGGGGAAUAUUGCACAAUGGAGGAAACUCUGAUGCAGCAAUGUCGCGUGAGUGAAGAAGGCCCUUGGGUCGUAAAGCUCUUUUAUGGGGGAAGAUGAUGACGGUACCCCAAGAAUAAGCACCGGCUAACUAUGUGCCAGCAGCCGCGGUAAUACAUAGGGUGCGAGCGUUGUUCGGAAUUACUGGGCGUAAAGGGCGCGCAGGCGGAAUAGUAAGUCGGAGGUGAAAGCCCGGGGCUCAACCCCGGAGGGUCUUUCGAAACUGCUAAUCUAGAGAGGGUCAGGGGCCGGCAGAAUUCCUGGUGUAGAGGUGAAAUUCGUAGAUAUCAGGAGGAAUACCGGUGGCGAAGGCGGCCGGCUGGGGCCACUCUGACGCUGAGGCGCGAAAGCGUGGGGAGCAAACAGGAUUAGAUACCCUGGUAGUCCACGCCGUAAACGAUGAGCACUGGACGUCCGGAGGGUUCGACCCUUCUGGGUGUCUCAGCUAACGCAUUAAGUGCUCCGCCUGGGGAGUACGGUCGCAGCACAUAC